CAGUCGCCACGGGAAAACGUAGGGCGCAAGCGUUAUCCGGAAUUAUUGGGCGUAAAGAGCUCGUAGGCGGUUUGUCGCGUCUGCCGUGAAAGUCCGGGGCUCAACCCCGGAUCUGCGGUGGGUACGGGCAGACUAGAGUGAUGUAGGGGAGACUGGAAUUCCUGGUGUAGCGGUGAAAUGCGCAGAUAUCAGGAGGAACACCGAUGGCGAAGGCAGGUCUCUGGGCAUUAACUGACGCUGUGGAGCGAAAGCAUGGGGAGCGAACAGGAUUAGAUACCCCUGUAGUCCCUGUCUCUUAUAC
Molecule: ribosomal RNA, 301 nt
Filed under: uncultured bacterium
Lineage: Bacteria
Description: partial 16S ribosomal RNA
Rfam family: Bacterial small subunit ribosomal RNA
Source: RNAcentral